RNAcentral lists this non-coding RNA (188 nucleotides) under Bacillus sp. (in: firmicutes). The record is from RNAcentral. RNAcentral also lists the same sequence under 1 other name. Lineage: Bacteria; Bacillati; Bacillota; Bacilli; Caryophanales; Bacillaceae.
UAUAUUGCAACGAAAACAGGUACUUUCUUUGUGAAGGUUUAAAAGGGAAGUUUGGUGUAAUUCCAACGCGGUCCCGCCACUGUAAAUGGGAGCAAACUGUAAUAUCCACUUUAUCCAUUAAAGGAUAAGGGAAGGUACAGGGAGCAAUGAUCAUGAGCCAGGAGACCUGCCUGUUUUUUGAGUGCACC